RNAcentral lists this ribosomal RNA (391 nucleotides) under Hyalomma rufipes. RNAcentral's name for it is "partial large subunit ribosomal RNA". The record is from RNAcentral. Lineage: Eukaryota; Metazoa; Arthropoda; Arachnida; Ixodida; Ixodidae.
UAUACAAAGGUAUUGUAAUAAGAUUUUAAUUGAAUGCUAAAAGAAUGGAAAUUUAAAAAAAAACUUUUUUAAAAAUAAAAAUUGAAUUUUUUUUAAUUUGUGCAAAAACAAUUAUAUUUAUUAAAGACAAGAAGACCCUAAGAAUUUAAGAUUUUACAAUUAAAAAGUUUUUUUUUAAAAUCUUGAUUGGGGCGAUCAAAAAAUAUUAAUAACUUUUUAAAAUUUAAAUUGAUCUAUUAUUAAUAAACUAAUGAAUUAAAUACUCUAGGGAUAACAGCGUAAUAAUUUUUGAUAGAUCUUAUUGACAAAAUAGUUUGCGACCUCGAUGUUGGAUUAGGAUUCUUUUUUAAUGAAGAAGUUAAAAAAAGAAGUUUGUUCAACUUUUAAAUUC